GUAGGGAAUAUUGGGCAAUGGUCGGAAGACUGACCCAGCCAUGCCGCGUGCAGGAAGACGGCCCUCUGGGUUGUAAACUGCUUUUAUCUGGGAAGAAAAAGGCCAUGCGUGGCAAAUUGCCGGUACCAGAUGAAUAAGCACCGGCUAACUCCGUGCCAGCAGCCGCGGUAAUACGGAGGGUGCGAGCGUUGUCCGGAUUUAUUGGGUUUAAAGGGUGCGUAGGCGGCUGAUUAAGUCAGCGGUGAAAGACUUCGGCUUAACCGGAGCAGUGCCGUUGAUACUGGUUGGCUUGAGUGUCGGGGGGGUACAUGGAAUUGAUGGUGUAGCGGUGAAAUGCAUAGAUACCAUCAGGAACACCGAUAGCGAAGGCAUUGUACUGGCCGACAACUGACGCUGAUGCACGAAAGUGUGGGGAUCGAACAGGAUUAGAAACCCGUGUAGUCC
RNAcentral lists this ribosomal RNA (444 nucleotides) under uncultured bacterium. RNAcentral's name for it is "partial 16S ribosomal RNA". It matches the Rfam family "Bacterial small subunit ribosomal RNA", at positions 354 to 796 of the family's 1533-position model. The record is from RNAcentral.